CCCCACACACCAUCAUCGACAAUUACGCGCAUAUCCACUGUACGGCUCCCGGCCACCACACCCCCCCACACGGGGGCUGGUGCGCCACACAUGUGAGUCACAACAUCAUAUGAGUUCCGUCUGGAACACCCCAAGAUUCUGGU
This 143-nucleotide unclassified non-coding RNA is filed under the name Acidipropionibacterium acidipropionici. Lineage: Bacteria; Bacillati; Actinomycetota; Actinomycetes; Propionibacteriales; Propionibacteriaceae. The record is from RNAcentral.